CGGGGCGCGGGCCGUGUGACGCCGCCGGCGGCCUCGGGAGGGCUGCGUGAUGACGCAGGCGCGCGGACUCCUGUGGCGUGUGUGGCGGCAGUCAUGGCGGACGGGGGCGGCGAGGUCUGCUUUCGGCGGGACUCUCCCGGGCGUCGGCUUCAUCCGAGGCCAUCGAGGAUCCCAGGCGGGGCCCGCCGUCUGCUAAGGCUGGAGUGCGCUGACGCGUAGAAGAACGCGGGAGAGAGGCCGUUUUGUGCAGUGACGCCACGACACGGGUAACCCCUGGGACUGGUCGAGGCCUCCAGCAGACCCAGGCCCCUCCUGUGUCCGAGCCCAGGCACUGAACACACCGGCCUCCACGCAGCCACCCUCAGGAGACACUUCCUUCCCGUGAGUCUUGCGUUUCUUCGGUUCCGGGAGCGAGGCACUGACUGCCUUUGGCCCAGGCUGUCU
Molecule: long non-coding RNA, 444 nt
Organism: Phyllostomus discolor (pale spear-nosed bat)
Lineage: Eukaryota; Metazoa; Chordata; Mammalia; Chiroptera; Phyllostomidae
Exons: 3
Source: RefSeq, a predicted model, not a curated record